Non-coding RNA from Arachis ipaensis, 1275 nucleotides. NCBI's taxonomy places the organism in Eukaryota, Viridiplantae, Streptophyta, Magnoliopsida, Fabales, Fabaceae. The record is from RefSeq and is a predicted model, not a curated record.
AAGAAAAACUAAAAAAUGCGGGCUCAGGCUCAGCCGACGAACGAAAGUGUUGAAUGCAAAUGGAAACAGUACAAUCACCACCUCCAACCUCUCCGCUGCCUCCAUCAGCGGCGAGGCUGUGGAGGGUAGCCGCGCAGCGCAACCUUCGGAACCAGUGGUCACAGCUGGCCUCUCUCUGGAAGGAUUGGUCCUCCCUCUCCUCCCGCGCUCUCUCCCACGCCAAUGAAGCCCUUAACUACCAUCUCCAUCAACAGUACAUGCCUCACAAGGCGUUAGGUGUUUUGACCGAUAUGCCCCUUAUCAGAAGUCGUGCUUCUAUGAAACUCCAUAACCGUCAGGUUCUUGCGACGCGGGGAUUAUUGGAAUCGUAUAAGGCCAUGGUGGAUAUUUUGAGGAAAAUGUUCGAGGCUAGCAGAUUGUUCAGAUGUUUUCUCAAAGGAUCAAUCAAUAGUCCGCUAUUGCAAUUUUCGGAACGUUCUGAACAGAAGGGUGACAGCAGUGACACUGGAGAUGGUGGUGGAAUUCCAGUAUAUACAUUUUUGUCAAUCUCUUCUCAUGAGAAGUAUACCGAGGAGCUGGUUCAGAUGUUUAGCUUGGAACUGUGUAUGAAGCGGUUCCUUGUUCUUGAAUUUGUGUCACUUGGUUACGACACUUCACAAGUAAAGCAGUUGAGUUGGUCAACUGAGCUCUAUGCUGGUGAAUUCAAACAUUUGAGUGACUGCAAUCUUUACUGUGAGGAGACACAUGGUCCAGUUCUACCAAGGUCAAGAGAUGGGAAAUCUGAAAUGUUUGCUUUAACAUUUGACAACCAACACUCCAGUGAUGUCUUAGAGGUUUAUUUAACAACAUGGCGUGCAGAGCUGAACAUUGACAUUUUCAGGGUGAACGAGAUAUUUGAGACUGUUGGGGAGGAAAUGCAUAUCAAAUUAUGUUAGGCUGUGUUCUGGAAAAGACUAAGCUGUAAAAAGCUCCAAUGGAUGGUAAGUGAAGUCUCAGCACUAUAUGAUGCAUAUUUCUUUUUUGCUCACGCUUAUUGGUUGGAUCUUUGGGUAUUCAAAUCGUGGAAUCAGCCAUUGAUGCAUUUAUCAGGUAGGCUGUCUACGCUGCACCCACUGGGUGCUGCCCUUCCCCGGAUCUUGUUUAAUGCUGGAUGCUUGUGCACCAAACUGUCUAUUUUUUCUCUUUUUCUUUUUAGCAGCCACCAUUCCUAUAUGAUUGUAUUAUAGUGAUAUUAUCUCCAUUACCGUUUUAAUUUUAUGACUGUAUUAUAGGAUA